This 252-nucleotide ribosomal RNA is filed under the name uncultured bacterium. Its description in RNAcentral is "partial 16S ribosomal RNA". It matches the Rfam family "Bacterial small subunit ribosomal RNA", at positions 524 to 776 of the family's 1533-position model. The record is from RNAcentral.
UACGUAGGUCCCGAGCGUUGUCCGGACUUAUUGGGCGUAGAGCGAGCGCAGGUGGUUUAUUAAGUCUGGUGUAAAAGGCAGUGGCUCAACCAUUGUAUGCAUUGGAAACUGGUAGACUUGAGUGCAGGAGAGGAGAGUGGAAUUCCAUGUGUAGCGGUGAAAUGCGUAGAUAUAUGGAGGAACACCGGUGGCGAAAGCGGCUCUCUGGCCUGUAACUGACACUGAGGCUCGAAAGCGUGGGGAGCAAACAGG